GAUUCACUAUAAAAUGUAAAAUUAUAAAAGGGAAAAAUAAGUUUUCAGACAAGCAAAAAAAAAUUGCAGUCACUUAAAAAAUACACGAACACUCUGAGUACUACUGAUCUUUCAGAUUAAAAACAUGCAUGGUCCAGUGAAGGUGUCUGAAUUUUAGACAUAUUUGGUUACACAUGGAAAUGACAAAGGAAAAAGGGUUCACUGCACUUAAAAUUACCAGGGGAGGGAGGGCAUCCGAACGUCACGGUCUUGACUGUUACAAAAUGACGUUCACUCAUGCUAUAGAAAUAAGUAAAUAACAGUGGUAAAAAAGGAAGAGCAAGCAUGGGCCAAGAAUGAAAUGGGGUAAGGGGACAUACAUACAUACACACACACACACACACACACACACACACACACGUAGAUGAACUGGGAAAAUAAUUAUUUUAAGUAGAAUUGUUUCAUUUCUGCUUUAUUCCCACCCUGCCAAAUGCAUCCCUUUCCUAAUUUACUGAACCAAAGAGGAACCUAAACAAAACUCAAACGUUGUAUAUAUUCCAGCUUUGAAAUGUCUCACUGCCACCUUCAUAACCUGUUAGACCUAAACAAUUUGUUCUUAAGUUUUGUACUUUUUAAAUUAUCUUUCUUUGCAAAAGAUGACAGAGGCAUUCAAAAAGAAUUUUUGGCUUAUUUAUUUAAAAAAAGUCAACCUUAUACAUAAAUAGAAUAAAAACAAGAACUCUAAACAAUCACAAAUGUCUCUACAAAAUAAUAAAUAUCAUGGAAGUUAAACAUACAUAUAAAACUUUACUAUUAAACUAAUCUCCUGUAUGUAUAUUUUUAUACCCUGCUCCCCCCAACAAAAGGAUAGUGUCACAUGCUCAAACCAUUUAAGUCUUGCAGUGUAGUUACCCUCUGUUGUUACUGCUACAUUCUAAACAUAAGGUUCUCAUUGUGUGUUCCUAUACCUAAAUAAAAAACAGCUAGGAAGUGCACUUCUAUAAUCCAAAUUCUGGUUCAGUUAUGAUCAUAUCUGUACCUGCCAUAAUAUACAGCAGAAUGCUCUCUCUUAAUCCAUCAAAACUAAGAAAUCUCUUGGUUAUGGUACCUGUACUAAAUGUAAAAGAUAUACUUAUUUAAUACUAAUAGUUUAAGUUAGAUACUGGCAUAGUAAAUACUCUAAUAUCUUUCACUAAAGUCAGGGAAGUAACCAAACAAUAUUAAAUUCUAAAAACAGAACUCCUCACAGGAGAUUCUUUACAAAACAAAAGCCAAAAGGAGUAAAACACAAGGGUAGUCAUUCACAUUCUAGAGCAAUUCAAGUUCUACAAUCAUUAAAAUAUACAUUAAACACCUAUGAUAAAAGGGACACCAAAAAAUUCUAGGUUUAUUUCUAAGUUUAAAUCAUAAUGAUUUGUUAAAUCACUUAGUUUUUCUUACCCAACAGCCUUCAUCUUGAUGAAAAGAGGGAAACAUGAGAGAAGGGGAAGAGAGACAGCUUUGUAGCAUUUUCUACGAUGAAUGCUGCAGCUCGAUAUACAAAGCAUCUGCCCUCUCUAAGAAGCCACAGUGCUGGCAUCCAGGACUUUACACAGCAGAUAACAACUGUGGCUUAGAGAAGCCAGUCUCAAGUGGAUUGCACAGUUGAGGGAGGGGUUAAUGUGCAGCACUCUCCACAAGACCAAUGGAGCACACUCCUAUGUGUGUCUGGUUUAGACAAUCAGUUCUACUUCAAAUAACUGCAACAUCAUCAGAGUAUCACUAUUGACAAGAAAACUGAAAUACUCAUCCUAAUAGCUCUCAGCAUCUCAAAUAAAAGGCUCACAGUACACUUACUUUUCUACUUGAAAAACAGCCAAAGAUAAGACUUUCAUGGUAGCAAUAAUAUAGUAUAGAUUUUAAUUAUUGUAUUUAUAGGCCGGAAUCCUAAUAAUUAUGCUUUAAAUUUCAGGUUAAUGUAACCUAAACAAUACUGUUCUAUGAAUUAAGGGCAAGCACUAGUGAAUCUUAUUAAGCAAAGCAUCAGAUACAUUACUUCCUUGAAUCUCGUACUUUUUAUAUAUAAACUAUGACCUUUAGCUUGAAGUACCCUAAUAUUUAGGCACAUCUUGGUUUAUUAAUACUUUUUAUAAAGAGGUUAACUUUUAAUAAGCAUGUUCACAUUAAUGUAUGAUGACUAGAUACUGGUUGUUCCCAUCUUUGAAAUACCUGAAACAUUUUUAGGUACUAAAAAUGUUCACAGAUUAUGUAAAAUAUAAAUUUUGCAUAUCCUACUUGAGUACUAUUAAGUUCAGUUAAUCCAUAUGAUUUCUUGUAUACUAAAUCAAUGAUAGUGUUGAAUAGCUGAUUUCCAGCCUGUAUUAAAACAUCUAUUUCAAUAUUCUCUCUUUUUAACCCAUGAUCAAUCAAGCUUACUGUUGCAAAGAUCUACUUAGCACUCAAGAGUUAACAGGACACUGUGCUUUGAGCGGCCACUUCCAUUUAAAGCUCUUAGCAGACCAGUAGAACACACUCAUUCAUGUAUACUGCUUCUGAAAUUUCAUCUUUGGAGCUCACUUGCUUUCAGUUAUUAAGCAUUAAUUUAUAUAAAGAAAUUACAUAAGCUAUAUAUGUAAAAACAAGUACAAAAAUCACAUAGCUGCAGCCUAUUGCAGCCACCCUUGGAAGCCAACCCUUGCUGAAUUAAGCUUAAAAUUUGCUUGCUAUAGGCUACAAAAAAAAAAAAGAAUUUUUAAGUUAAUUACAUAAAAGCAUUUCCUAAUAAAAUAUGAAAUACACUAACUUAAUGUCGCUUUUUUUACUUGAAGAAAGGUAAAUGAACAUGUUAGAACGUGUUCUAGUUAGUUUGAGGGAAAGGUGACUUACUUCAGCCUGUUCUUGUGAAUUAUUUACCACAAUCACAGUUCUGACAUACAAGGUGUUUAACAAUUUCACUUGGCAAAACUUUCUCAUCAGCUUACUCUAAAAUUUUCCUUCAAUACACCUUCAUAAGUGCAAUAAAAGCAUGUUCUAAUACAUUUCAGACCAAAAGAAUCAAAAGGUAGUCUAUUUUACUACCACCAUCCCAAAUAUGAAACUGUACAGCUAAUUCUUCCUUUUAUGAUAUUCUUAAAUCCCUAUAUGCAAAUAAGGCUACUCAUCUCUCACCUCACCUUUUCUUCAGAAGAAAAGGGAGGGGCAGACAGAGGGAGGAAAAGUUCAAAAUAUAAUAAUAGUUGCUGACAACCUACUCCUUUACUCUGAGGAUAAUCAGAUCAACAAGUUAACAAGUAUGUUUUAAUUCUUGCCAUAGAAUCAUAUAGGCUCUUUACCAAGGUUAUGCUAAAAAUCACUACAAUGUAAGUAACAGGUUUUAUUAUUUUCUAUCCCAGAGUUAGCUAAAUUUAGCAUAUGGAUCAAAUAAUCCUUAGAUUAAACCCAGAUCUUUCUUAAUGAAAGGCACUAAAAAAAAUGCAACUUAGUCUAACAGUAUAUCCACUCAUACUUUAUAGCUCAGCAGCUUUAGCUACACUAAAUGCUGGGGCAUUUAAAAUGCCAAAUAAUUAUGAUCUUUACUCCAAGGAAAGAAAAUAUAAACUUCUGCCUAUGAAAUAAUGUUUUAAAAACCCAUACUUGCCUGGUUAUUCUUUCAAAGAAAAAAAAAGACUUAUAAAUUGUACAUAUACAGAAAACAGAAGGUAAACCAUAGCCAAAAGUGACAGAAAAGCCACCAAGGAAAUAAAGCAAAAAAGAAAGCAGCGGACAAAGGGCACACCAUAGAAGAACAGCUAGUGAGGUACAGCAGGCAGAAGCUCCACAAUCGUGAAAGUCAAGUUAAAAUAUUUCAGGGAGAGGCUGGUCAGUAAAGAAGCUGAGUCAGGGGCUUUUUUCUUCUA
Molecule: long non-coding RNA, 3854 nt
Filed under: Homo sapiens (human)
Lineage: Eukaryota; Metazoa; Chordata; Mammalia; Primates; Hominidae
Description: HSALNT0338703
Source: RNAcentral